This 501-nucleotide ribosomal RNA is filed under the name uncultured fungus. RNAcentral's name for it is "eukaryotic LSU rRNA". It matches the Rfam family "Eukaryotic large subunit ribosomal RNA", at positions 139 to 649 of the family's 3401-position model. Lineage: Eukaryota; Fungi. The record is from RNAcentral.
CGAGUUGUAUUCUGGAGAAGCGUUUUCCGUGCUGGACCGUGUACAAGUCCCUUGGAACAGGGCGUCAUAGAGGGUGAGAAUCCCGUCUUUGACACGGACUGCCAGUGCUCUGUGAUGCGCUCUCGAAGAGUCGAGUUGUUNGNGAAUGCAGUUCAAAACGGGUGGUAAAUUCCAUCUAAAGCUAAAUAUUGGCGAGAGACCGAUAGCGAACAAGUACCGUGAGGGAAAGAUGAAAAGCACUUUGGAAAGAGAGUGAAACAGUACGUGAAAUUGUUGAAAGGGAAACGCUUGUAGUCAGUCGCGUCUUCUGGAACUCAGCCUUGCUUCUGCUUGGUGCACUUUCCAGUUUGACGGGUCAGCAUCGGUUUCGGUGGGGCAGACAAAGGCGGAGGGAAGGUGGCCGCUCCGGCGGUGUUAUAGCCCUCCGUUGUGCGUGUCCCCUGGGACCGAGGAAUCCGGCGCUCGUCGCCUGGGAUGCUGGCGUAAUGGCUUUAAGCGACC